Molecule: long non-coding RNA, 661 nt
Filed under: Glycine max (soybean)
Lineage: Eukaryota; Viridiplantae; Streptophyta; Magnoliopsida; Fabales; Fabaceae
Description: long non-coding RNA (GMAX_LNC002263)
Source: RNAcentral
UGUCCGAUUUUUCUAAACCAGAGUGAAAGCAUAUCAGAUAAAGAAGGAAGAGCAAAAUACACCUGAAGAGCAGGAAAAUAUAUACUAAACAAGUAGUUGAAUACAAUAAGUUAAUGAUGUAUGAUCAUUAUUUAUUACCAUAAUUUCCAUUAACACAAGGAAGAAGCAAUUUUAAUGCAUAAAUUACAAUCUAGAUACAUAAACAAAUAUACACAUGGUUUCAAAUUAUGCAUUCUCAGCAGCAGCAGGAUCAAGUUGAUAGAGUGCAGAUUCUGAAACACGUUUCUUGUACUUGGCAAUGAAAGCUUCAGCUUUCAUGUCAAUAUUGGGUUCAGCAACACCCCAGUUACCUUUGUCGUAAUCGCUAGGCCAGACCUUGCGCCCCGAAUCAGAGGCAUCAUAGUACCCUCCUCUGGGCUUCCUUGAUGAGAAAAUGUUGAAAAUAGAGAAGAAACCGGAAGAAGACUUCUUCUGCCUAUGACCUCCCAUGUUGUGGUGUUUUGUUUUUUUUUUUUUUUGGCUAUCAAUGACUGAAUCAGUCACCGUGAAGAACUUGGAGGGGAGUGGAUUGUGUUGGUUUUCAAUUCAAAGGUAAGAUGAUUUAUUUAUACUAGAGAGAGGCUUCAAAUGCAUGAGUGGUGAAUAGUGAAAGAAUCUGAAA